RNAcentral lists this ribosomal RNA (303 nucleotides) under uncultured bacterium. Its description in RNAcentral is "partial 16S ribosomal RNA". It matches the Rfam family "Bacterial small subunit ribosomal RNA", at positions 507 to 809 of the family's 1533-position model. The record is from RNAcentral.
AGCAGCCGCCACGGUAAUACGUAGGUGGCAAGCGUUGUCCGGAAUUAUUGGGCGUAAAGGGCUCGCAGGCGGUUUCUUAAGUCUGAUGUGAAAGCCCCCGGCUCAACCGGGGAGGGUCAUUGGAAACUGGGAAACUUGAGUGCAGAAGAGGAGAGUGGAAUUCCACGUGUAGCGGUGAAAUGCGCAGAGAUGUGGAGGAACACCAGUGGCGAAGGCGACUCUCUGGUCUGUAACUGACGCUGAGGAGCGAAAGCGUGGGGAGCGAACAGGAUUAGAGACCCCUGUAGUCCCUGUCUCUUAUAA